Molecule: transfer RNA, 67 nt
Filed under: Psedna nana
Lineage: Eukaryota; Metazoa; Arthropoda; Insecta; Orthoptera; Pyrgomorphidae
Description: tRNA-Glu
Source: RNAcentral
AUCUAUAUAGUUUAAACACAAAACCUUACAUUUUCACUGUAAAAAUAAUAAAUAUUAUUUAUAGAUA